Molecule: ribosomal RNA, 253 nt
Filed under: uncultured bacterium
Lineage: Bacteria
Description: partial 16S ribosomal RNA
Rfam family: Bacterial small subunit ribosomal RNA
Source: RNAcentral
UACAGAGGGUGCAAGCGUUGUCCGGAAUUACUGGGCGUAAAGGGCGCGUAGGCGGCUUGAUAAGUAGGAGGUGAAAUCUCAUGGCUCAACCAUGAAACUGCCUUCUAAACUGUCAGGCUUGAGCACGGUAGAGGCAGAUGGAAUUCCCGGUGUAGCGGUGGAAUGCGUAGAGAUCGGGAAGAACACCAGUGGCGAAGGCGGUCUGCUGGGCCGUUGCUGACGCUGAUGCGCGACAGCGUGGGGAGCAAACAGG